Molecule: long non-coding RNA, 532 nt
Organism: Rhea pennata
Lineage: Eukaryota; Metazoa; Chordata; Aves; Rheiformes; Rheidae
Exons: 3
Source: RefSeq, a predicted model, not a curated record
AGCCGGCGGGGCGGGAGCGGAGCGGAGCCGCCCGCGGGGCGCCGGAUGCUGCGGCCCUUGCGGUGUUGGCCAGCGUGCAGAUGGGCAGAGCUGUUAGCUACAAGGUGAUUAGUGCCUCACACUGCUCAGGUUAGGGCCCUAGAAGGAAGGAUGGUCUAAGAGAGCUGUUUAAUAGUCACGCAUCACUUCCUCCAAGUUUAAGAUCAGAGCAUCCCUAUGAGUAAGAAGUCAAGCAAAGGGGGCAGGGGACCUGCAUGGAUGAGCAAGCAGCUCCUGGCAAAACUCAAACAGAAGAAGGAGGUACACGGAACGUGGAAGAAGGGACAGGCCACUUUGGAGGAAGAUGGGAACACUGUCAGAGUAUGCCGGGAUGCAACAAGGAAGGCUAAGGCCCAUUUGAAAUUAAAUCUGGCAAGGGAUGUCAAGGACAACAAGAAGGGCUUCUUCAAAUGCAUCGUUAGCAAAGGGAAGACUAGGGAAAAUGUGGGCCCACUGCUGAAUGGGUCAGGGGCCCUGGUGAUGAAGGAUGCAG